Molecule: ribosomal RNA, 468 nt
Filed under: uncultured bacterium
Lineage: Bacteria
Description: partial 16S ribosomal RNA
Rfam family: Bacterial small subunit ribosomal RNA
Source: RNAcentral
GACGAACGCUGGCGGCGUGCUUAACACAUGCAAGUCGAACGGAAAGGCCCUGCUUUUGUGGGGUGCUCGAGUGGCGAGCGGGUGAGUAACACGUGAGUAACCUGCCCUUGACUUUGGGAUAACUUCAGGAAACUGGGGCUAAUACCGGAUAGGAGCUCCUGCUGCAUGGUGGGGGUUGGAAAGUUUCGGCGGUUGGGGAUGGACUCGCGGCUUAUCAGCUUGUUGGUGGGGUAGUGGCUUACCAAGGCUUUGACGGGUAGCCGGCCUGAGAGGGUGACCGGCCACAUUGGGACUGAGAUACGGCCCAGACUCCUACGGGAGGCAGCAGUGGGGAAUAUUGCACAAUGGGCGGAAGCCUGAUGCAGCAACGCCGCGUGCGGGAUGACGGCCUUCGGGUUGUAAACUGCUUUCGCCUGUGACGAAGCGUGAGUGACGGUAAUGGGUAAAGAAGCACCGGCUAACUACGUG